AUUUGACGUUAGCGACAGAAGAAGCACCGGCUAACUCCGUGCCAGCAGCCGCGGUAAUACGGAGGGUGCGAGCGUUAAUCGGAAUUACUGGGCGUAAAGCGCAUGCAGGUGGUUUGUUAAGUCAGAUGUGAAAGCCCGGGGCUCAACCUCGGAAUAGCAUUUGAAACUGGCAGACUAGAGUACUGUAGAGGGGGGUAGAAUUUCAGGUGUAGCGGUGAAAUGCGUAGAGAUCUGAAGGAAUACCGGUGGCGAAGGCGGCCCCCUGGACAGAUACUGACACUCAGAUGCGAAAGCGUGGGGAGCAAACAGGAUUAGAUACCCUGGUAGUCCACGCCGUAAACGAUGUCUACUUGGAGGUUGUGGCCUUGAGCCGUGGCUUUCGGAGCUAACGCGUUAAGUAGACCGCCUGGGGAGUACGGUCGCAAGAUUAAAACUCAAAUGAAUUGACGGGGGCCCGCACAAGCGGUGGAGCAUGUGGUUUAAUUCGAUGCAACGCGAAGAACCUUACCUACUCUUGACAUCCAGAGAACUUUCCAGAGAUGGAUUGGUGCCUUCGGGAACUCUGAGACAGGUGCUGCAUGGCUGUCGUCAGCUCGUGUUGUGAAAUGUUGGGUUAAGUCCCGCAACGAGCGCAACCCUUAUCCUUGUUUGCCAGCACUUCGGGUGGGAACUCCAGGGAGACUGCCGGUGAUAAACCGGAGGAAGGUGGGGACGACGUCAAGUCAUCAUGGCCCUUACGAGUAGGGCUACACACGUGCUACAAUGGCGCAUACAGAGGGCGGCCAACUUGCGAGAGUGAGCGAAUCCCAAAAAGUGCGUCGUAGUCCGGAUCGGAGUCUGCAACUCGACUCCGUGAAGUCGGAAUCGCUAGUAA
This 874-nucleotide ribosomal RNA is filed under the name Vibrio sp. RNAcentral describes it as "bacterial SSU rRNA". It matches the Rfam family "Bacterial small subunit ribosomal RNA", at positions 467 to 1341 of the family's 1533-position model. The record is from RNAcentral. Lineage: Bacteria; Pseudomonadati; Pseudomonadota; Gammaproteobacteria; Vibrionales; Vibrionaceae.